RNAcentral lists this long non-coding RNA (471 nucleotides) under Exaiptasia diaphana. RNAcentral's name for it is "uncharacterized LOC114576348, transcript variant X1". Lineage: Eukaryota; Metazoa; Cnidaria; Anthozoa; Actiniaria; Aiptasiidae. The record is from RNAcentral.
AGGUUGAAGAAGCUCAACCGACUUCAAAUGUUGACAGGACUGACAAUGAUGAUUCAAAGUAUAGGGGUGAUGCUCAACCACCAGAUUUUUAUAAUGAUGGCUCAGAAUAUCUGGUAUGUCGGCUUGUAGUAAAACACUAAUUACAGCUUUGAAUUUCUAACAUUUUCAUGCCGUCUAAAAUAGGGCGACGCGACUUCAGAUCUUGAUAAUGAUGUCCUGGACAAUAGGGAAACACAUAUAGAUCUUGUCCCGAGUAGUGAUGACGAAAUGGAUAAUUUAACAGGAACUCCUGAUUAUAUACGCACAGAAAGUUUCACACUGAAUAUGGACGCUUUGCGAAGAAAUUGGGAGAUGAAGUCAACAGAAGAUGGAGCUGAAUUAACGGUAAUUUAAAGGCACUUAAAUCUUCUAUUACAAGGGUGAAUGUCCGAAACGUCCAUUGAAGAGCAGAAAACCAACAAGUUGCAAGUU